UACAGAGGGUGCGAGCGUUGUCCGGAAUUACUGGGCGUAAAGCGCGUGUAGGCUGUCCCGCAAGUCGGGUGUGAAAGCCCUGGGCUCAACCUAGGAAGUGCACUCGAAACUGCGGGACUCGAGUCCUGGAGAGGAAUGCGGAAUUCUCGGUGUAGAGGUGAAAUUCGUAGAUAUCGAGAGGAACACCGGUGGCGAAGGCGGCCUUCUGGACAGUGACUGACGCUGAGACGCGAAAGCGUGGGGAGCAAACAGG
Molecule: ribosomal RNA, 253 nt
Filed under: uncultured bacterium
Lineage: Bacteria
Description: partial 16S ribosomal RNA
Rfam family: Bacterial small subunit ribosomal RNA
Source: RNAcentral